AACGCACAUUGCGCCUUGUGGUAUUCCACAGGGCAUGCCUGUUUGAGCGUCAUUUCUCUCUCACUAACGUGGUUUUGUUGUAUCUCUCUCUUUUUUUAUUAGAGAGAGUGCAAUGAAAGGAAAUGGCAGUGCUUCGAAGUUUGCCAAACGUGUUCUAGGUUGUACCAACUACACUAGUAAGCGCUUCAAUAAGCCGGCUUGAUAAACCUUUUAUUAAGUUUGACCUCAAAUCAGGUAAGAAUACCCGCUGAACUUAA
RNAcentral lists this unclassified non-coding RNA (257 nucleotides) under uncultured fungus. Its description in RNAcentral is "sequence contains ITS2". The stretch from base 1 to 52 matches the Rfam family "5.8S ribosomal RNA", at positions 103 to 154 of the family's 154-position model. The record is from RNAcentral. Lineage: Eukaryota; Fungi.